Molecule: ribosomal RNA, 497 nt
Filed under: uncultured bacterium
Lineage: Bacteria
Description: partial 16S ribosomal RNA
Rfam family: Bacterial small subunit ribosomal RNA
Source: RNAcentral
GAUGAACGCUGGCGGCGUGCCUAAUACAUGCAAGUUGAGCGAUGAAGCUUGGUGCUUGCUCCAAUUUGAAGAGCAGCGAACGGGUGAGUAACGCGUGGGGAAUCUGCCUUUGAGCGGGGGACAACUUUUGGAAACGAAUGCUAAUACCGCAUAACAACUUUAAACAUAAGUUUUAAGUUUGAAAGAUGCACUUGCAUCACUCAAUGAUGAUCCCGCGUUGUAUUUGCCAGUUGGUUAGGUAAAGGCACACCAAAGCGAAGAAACAUAGCCGACCUGAGAGGGUUGUUGGCCACAUUGGGACUGAGACACGGCCCAAACUCCUACGGGAAGCAGCAGGAAGGGAUCUUCGGCAAUGGACGGAAGUCUGGCCGAGCAACGCCGCGUGAGGGAAGAAGGGUUUCGGAACGUAAAACUCUUGUGAUAGGGGAGAACGUUAGGUGUAGGGGAAAGCGCAUCAAGUGACGGUAACUACCCAGAAAGGCACGGCUAACUACGUG